AGCCGAGCAGGGUUUAAGUGAGGCUUAUGCUUUAGCAUAUUUCGAACUUAAGCUCAGCAAGGAGGGACAAGUCGUCACAAGGUAGCCGUAGGGGAACCUACGGCUGGAUCACCUCCUUU
Molecule: ribosomal RNA, 119 nt
Filed under: bacterium
Lineage: Bacteria
Description: partial 16S ribosomal RNA
Rfam family: Archaeal small subunit ribosomal RNA
Source: RNAcentral